RNAcentral lists this transfer RNA (76 nucleotides) under Bifidobacterium longum subsp. longum. RNAcentral describes it as "tRNA-Thr". It matches the Rfam family "tRNA". Rfam says of the family: Transfer RNA (tRNA) molecules are approximately 80 nucleotides in length. Their secondary structure includes four short double-helical elements and three loops (D, anti-codon, and T loops). Further hydrogen bonds mediate the characteristic L-shaped molecular structure. tRNAs have two regions of fundamental functional importance: the anti-codon, which is responsible for specific mRNA codon recognition, and the 3' end, to which the tRNAs corresponding amino acid is attached (by aminoacyl-tRNA synthetases). tRNAs cope with the degeneracy of the genetic code in two manners: having more than one tRNA (with a specific anti-codon) for a particular amino acid; and 'wobble' base-pairing, i.e. permitting non-standard base-pairing at the 3rd anti-codon position. Lineage: Bacteria; Bacillati; Actinomycetota; Actinomycetes; Bifidobacteriales; Bifidobacteriaceae. The record is from RNAcentral.
GCUGUCGUAGCUCAGUUGGUAGAGCAGCCGCCUUGUAAGCGGCAGGUCGUCGGAUCAUAUCCGACCGGCAGCUCGA